CCGAAUUCAGAUAAACUCCGAAUGCCAUGUACUUAUACUCGGGAGUCAGACUGCGAGUGAUAAGAUCCGUAGUCGAAAGGGAAACAGCCCAGACCACCAGUUAAGGUCCCCAAAUAUAUGUUAAGUGGAAAAGGAUGUGGGGUUGCUUAGACAACCAGGAUGUUGGCUUAGAAGCAGCCACCAUUGAAAGAGUGCGUAAUAGCUCACUGGUCGAGUGACCCCGCGCCGAAAAUGUACCGGGGCUAAACAUAUUACCGAAACUGUGGAUGAACCUCUUCGGAGGUUCGUGGUAGGAGAGCGUUCUAAGGGCGGUGAAGUCAGACCGGAAGGACUGGUGGAGCGCUUAGAAGUGAGAAUGCCGGUAUGAGUAGCGAAAGAAGGGUGAGAAUCCCUUCCACCGAAUAUCUAAGGUUUCCUGAGGAAGGCUCGUCCGCUCAGGGUUAGUCGGGACCUAAGCCGAGGCCGAUAGGCGUAGGCGAUGGACAACAGGUAGAGAUUCCUGUACCAGUGCUAAUUGUUUAACCGAUGGGGUGACACAGAAGGAUAGGGAAUCGCACGAAUGGAAAUGUGCGUCCAAGCAGUGAGUGUGAGAAGUAGGCAAAUCCGCUUCUUGCGAAGCAUGAGCUGUGAUGGGGAAGGAAAUUAAGUACGGAAGUUCCUGAUUUCACGCUGUCAAGAAAAGCCUCUAGGAAGAGUAGUACUGCCCGUACCGCAAACCGACACAGGUAGAUGAGGAGAGAAUCCUAAGGUGAGCGAGAGAACUCUCGUUAAGGAACUCGGCAAAAUGACCCCGUAACUUCGGGAGAAGGGGUGCUCUAUUAGGGUGCAAGCCCGAGAGAGCCGCAGUGAAUAGGCCCAGGCGACUGUUUAGCAAAAACACAGGUCUCUGCAAAACCGUAAGGUGACGUAUAGGGGCUGACGCCUGCCCGGUGCUGGAAGGUUAAGAGGAGUGCUUAGCUUCGGCGAAGGUACGAAUUGAAGCCCCAGUAAACGGCGGCCGUAACUAUAACGGUCCUAAGGUAGCGAAAUUCCUUGUCGGGUAAGUUCCGACCCGCACGAAAGGCGCAACGAUCUGGGCACUGUCUCAACGAGAGACUCGGUGAAAUUAUAGUACCUGUGAAGAUGCAGGUUACCCGCGACAGGACGGAAAGACCCCGUGGAGCUUUACUGCAACCUGAUAUGGAAUGUUUGUACCGCUUGUACAGGAUAGGUAGGAGCCGAAGAGACGUGUGCGCUAGCAUACGAGGAGGCAAUGGUGGGAUACUACCCUGGCUGUAUGACCAUUCUAACCCGCCACGCUAAGCGCGUGGGGAGACAGUGUCAGGUGGGCAGUUUGACUGGGGCGGUCGCCUCCUAAAGAGUAACGGAGGCGCCCAAAGGUUCCCUCAGAAUGGAUGGAAAUCAUUCGCAGAGUGUAAAGGCACAAGGGAGCUUGACUGCGAGACUGACAAGUCGAGCAGGGACGAAAGUCGGGCUUAGUGAUCCGGUGGUUCCGCAUGGAAGGGCCAUCGCUCAACGGAUAAAAGCUACCCCGGGGAUAACAGGCUUAUCUCCCCCAAGAGUCCACAUCGACGGGGAGGUUUGGCACCUCGAUGUCGGCUCGUCGCAUCCUGGGGCUGUAGUCGGUCCCAAGGGUUGGGCUGUUCGCCCAUUAAAGCGGCACGCGAGCUGGGUUCAGAACGUCGUGAGACAGUUCGGUCCCUAUCCGUCGCGGGCGCAGGAAAUUUGAGAGGAGCUGUCCUUAGUACGAGAGGACCGGGAUGGACACACCGCUGGUGUACCAGUUGUUCCGCCAGGAGCAUCGCUGGGUAGCUAUGUGUGGCAGGGAUAAACGCUGAAAGCAUCUAAGCGUGAAGCCCCCCUCAAGAUGAGAUUUCCCAUUUCUUCGGAAAGUAAGAUCCCUGAAAGAUGAUCAGGUAGAUAGGUUUGGAGUGGAAGUGUAGCGAUACAUGGAGCGGACAAAUACUAAUCGAUCGAGGACUUAACCAA
Molecule: ribosomal RNA, 1989 nt
Filed under: Listeria innocua
Lineage: Bacteria; Bacillati; Bacillota; Bacilli; Caryophanales; Listeriaceae
Description: partial 23S ribosomal RNA
Rfam family: Bacterial large subunit ribosomal RNA
Source: RNAcentral